AGAAGAUUGCAUUUUAGGCGCAGAAGCUUAUGUAAACUUUUUCUCAGGAUUAUGCACUUGGAGGCUUGUACAACUUCUCAACCAUCUUCCUAUAUUCUUCUUGAUUGCACCAAAGUUGAGCGGCUUGAGUGUUUAGAGGCGAGCUUAUAUUUGGUUCUCCAAGGAGGCUCUGGAUAGAUAAGAGUAUUGUUCGAACGUCAUAAGCGGAUGACCAUUUAUCCUGAAGAAUGUCCAAGCAAAUGUUGCCAUAGACAUCCACAUUAGGAUGGAAGCAGCUGGUUUCAAACUUCACCUUUGGUGGCUUGAAGGGGUAGUCGUUUGGAAAAGAAAGGGAUAGCUUGUAUUCAGUCCCUUCAAAAACUGUGUCUUUACUUCCGGUGAUUGUUCCUUUCCAGCAAAAUAUGUUGUCUUCUUCAGGGAAGGCAGAUAUACCAGCUUCUCCACUCAUCAUCAACGCCAUCAAUUCAGAUUGCAACCGUUUGAGCACAGAUUGUGUAUCAACAGUCUUUGCCGUUGGCACAGUCUGCUUCGAUGGGGUCCCCGCCGGAGCUGCCAUGGGUGUGUUGC
This 567-nucleotide unclassified non-coding RNA is filed under the name Hevea brasiliensis (rubber tree). Lineage: Eukaryota; Viridiplantae; Streptophyta; Magnoliopsida; Malpighiales; Euphorbiaceae. The record is from RNAcentral.